RNAcentral lists this ribosomal RNA (1408 nucleotides) under Incilius marmoreus (marbled toad). RNAcentral's name for it is "partial 16S ribosomal RNA". It matches the Rfam family "Bacterial large subunit ribosomal RNA", at positions 133 to 2577 of the family's 2925-position model. The record is from RNAcentral. Lineage: Eukaryota; Metazoa; Chordata; Amphibia; Anura; Bufonidae.
GCUAAAAACCUAGCCCAACCAAAAUGAAUUUCACCAUAUUAAUUAACCUUACUUAAUAAAUCAUUUUAAUACUUUAGUAAAGGAGAUUGAAAAAUUCUAUUGGAGCUAUAAUAAUAGUACCGCAAGGGAAAGGUGAAAUACUCAAUGAAAAACUUUUAAGCAAUAAAAAGUAAAGACUACCCCUUGUACCUUUUGCAUCAUGGUUUAACUAGUCUAAUCAAGCAAAACGUAUUUUAGUUUGACUUCCCGAAACUAAGUGAGCUACUUCAGGGCAGCUAAAAGAGCGAACCCGUCUCUGUAGCAAAAGAGUGGGAUGACCCUUAAGUAGCGGUGACAGACCUAACGAACUUAGUGAUAGCUGGUUACUCAAGAAAUGGAUCUAAGUCCAACCUGAAACCUACAGCUAGUAUAUCAAAACAGCUACCUAAAUUUUCAGAGUAAUUCAAAUAAGGUACAGCCUAUUUGAAACAGGACACAACCUAGACUUAUGGAUAAGAUUUGCCAUUUACAUAAUCAAGUGGGCCUAAAAGCAGCCAUCUUUAAAAAAGCGUCAAAGCUUAAUUAUUAUAACGCCUAAUUACUUAAUUUUUAUCUUAAUCCCUUAUCAAUACUGAGUAAUUCUAUACUUCUAUAGAAGAUUCUAUGUUAAAACUAGUAACAAGAAGAAGACCCUUCUCUUUAAUGCAAGUGUAAAUCAGAAAGGACAAACCACUGAUACUUAACGUCACUGAACCAAGAGUAAAAACUAAUCAAGAAAACCCUACUCUUACUAACGUUAAACUAACACAAGAGCAUUUCAAGAAAGAUUAAAAGAAAAAGAAGGAACUCGGCAAAUAUUAACCUCGCCUGUUUACCAAAAACAUCGCCUCUUGAGUACCAAUAAGAGGUCCAGCCUGCCCAGUGACAAUGUUCAACGGCCGCGGUAUCCUAACCGUGCGAAGGUAGCGUAAUCACUUGUUCUUUAAAUGUGGACUAGUAUGAAUGGCACCACGAAGGUUAUACUGUCUCCUUUUUCUAAUCAGUGAAACUAAUCUCCCCGUGAAGAAGCGGGGAUGAAAUUAUAAGACGAGAAGACCCUAUGGAGCUUUAAACAACAUAGCACUUGCCCUACAAUAUAUAAAUUCCUGAAAAUUUUAAUUUACUGGCAACAUGACUAUAAGUUUUUGGUUGGGGUGACCGCGGAGCAUAACACAACCUCCACGUUGAAAUAAAUCUUUUUAAGCCAAGACUCACAAGUCUAAGCAUCAUUAUAAUGACAUCCAUUGACCCAAUAUACUUGAUCAACGAACCAAGUUACCCUAGGGAUAACAGCGCAAUCCACUUCAAGAGCUCCUAUCGACAAGUGGGUUUACGACCUCGAUGUUGGAUCAGGGUAUCCCAGUGGUGCAGCCGCUACUAAAGGUUCGUU